This is a long non-coding RNA of Oncorhynchus keta (chum salmon), 1377 nucleotides long. RefSeq lists it as uncharacterized. NCBI's taxonomy places the organism in Eukaryota, Metazoa, Chordata, Actinopteri, Salmoniformes, Salmonidae. The transcript is spliced from 5 exons. The record is from RefSeq and is a predicted model, not a curated record.
CUGAUGCCCAGGCCAACAGGUCUUAAAUACCAACUAGGCUGACUGAUGCCCAGGCCAACAGGUCUUAAAUACCAACUAGGCUGACUGAUGCCCAGGCCAACAGGUCUUAAAUACCAGCUAGGCUGACUGAUGCCCAGGCCAACAGGUCUUAAAUACCAGCUAGGCUGACUGAUGCCCAGGCCAACAGGUCUUAAAUACCAGCUAGGCUGACUGAUGCCCAGGCCAGCAGGUCUUAAAUACCAGCUAGGCUGACUGAUGCCCAGGCCAACAGGUCUUAAAUACCAGCUAGGCUGACUGAUGCCCAGGCCAACAGGUCUUAAAUACCAGCUAGGCUGACUGAUGCCCAGGCCAGCAGGUCUUAAAUCCCAGCUAGGCUGACUGAUGCCCAGGCCAACAGGUCUUAAAUACCAGCUAGGCUGACUGAUGCCCAGGCCAACAGGUCUUAAAUACCAACUAGGCAGACUGAUGCCCAGGCCAACAGGUCUUAAAUACCAACUAGGCAGACUGAUGCCCAGGCCAACAGGUCUUAAAUACCAGCUAGGCUGACUGAUGCCCAGGCCAACAGGUCUUAAAUACCAACUAGGCUGACUGAUGCCCAGGCCAACAGGUCUUAAAUACCAGCUAGGCUGACUGAUGCCCAGGCCAACAGGUCUUAAAUACCAGCUAGGCUGACUGAUGCCCAGGCCAGCAGGUCUUAAAUACCAACUAGGCAGACUGAUGCCCAGGCCAACAGGUCUUAAAUUGAGUUCUAAGAUCAGGCCAGUUCCAUAACUUUCAUAACUGCUUCUACAGGUUCACCUUGGCUUCGACAGCCCAACACAGGAAGCAGCAGAGCAGUGGAGGGACAGCAUUUCUCACCCUGAGAAGAUGGUGGCUGUAUGGCACAGACUUAACGGAUUCUGACACACCUGUAUAAAUCCGCUUCCCAAAGAUGUUGACAGCCUCACCUGAAUCGCGACCUGUACUGCCACCCAGUGGUAUAAAGUACUUAAGUAAAAAUACUUUAGUAGUUUUUGGAGGUAUCUGUACUUUACUUUACUAUUUAUAUGUUUGACCUUGUAUUAUUUUGUAGAUAAAGUAUGUAGAUUACUCAUUUAUGUUGCAUAGACUUGUUUUGUGUAGUGUCAUAUGUUGUAUGUUCAGUUGAUAUAAUAUAAUGUUUUAGAGGACAGAUAUUUGGCGGCAGGUGGUGGUUAUUGGGCCAGUAACCGAAAGGUUGCGAGUUCGAAUCCCCGAGCUGACAAGGUAAAAGAAAAUCUGUCAUUCUGGCCCCUGAACAAGACCGUUAACCCACUGUUCACCGGUAGGCUGUCUUUGUAAAUAAGAAUUUGUUCUUAACCGACUUAAAUAAUGGUAUAAUAAAAAAUAUAAAACAUU